RNAcentral lists this ribosomal RNA (977 nucleotides) under Escherichia coli. Its description in RNAcentral is "bacterial LSU rRNA". It matches the Rfam family "Bacterial large subunit ribosomal RNA", at positions 174 to 1191 of the family's 2925-position model. The record is from RNAcentral. Lineage: Bacteria; Pseudomonadati; Pseudomonadota; Gammaproteobacteria; Enterobacterales; Enterobacteriaceae.
AUGAGGCGAACCGGGGGAACUGAAACAUCUAAGUACCCCGAGGAAAAGAAAUCAACCGAGAUUCCCCCAGUAGCGGCGAGCGAACGGGGAGGAGCCCAGAGCCUGAAUCAGUGUGUGUGUUAGUGGAAGCGUCUGGAAAGGCGCGCGAUACAGGGUGACAGCCCCGUACACAAAAAUGCACAUGCUGUGAGCUCGAUGAGUAGGGCGGGACACGUGGUAUCCUGUCUGAAUAUGGGGGGACCAUCCUCCAAGGCUAAAUACUCCUGACUGACCGAUAGUGAACCAGUACCGUGAGGGAAAGGCGAAAAGAACCCCGGCGAGGGGAGUGAAAAAGAACCUGAAACCGUGUACGUACAAGCAGUGGGAGCACGCUUAGGCGUGUGACUGCGUACCUUUUGUAUAAUGGGUCAGCGACUUAUAUUCUGUAGCAAGGUUAACCGAAUAGGGGAGCCGAAGGGAAACCGAGUCUUAACUGGGCGUUAAGUUGCAGGGUAUAGACCCGAAACCCGGUGAUCUAGCCAUGGGCAGGUUGAAGGUUGGGUAACACUAACUGGAGGACCGAACCGACUAAUGUUGAAAAAUUAGCGGAUGACUUGUGGCUGGGGGUGAAAGGCCAAUCAAACCGGGAGAUAGCUGGUUCUCCCCGAAAGCUAUUUAGGUAGCGCCUCGUGAAUUCAUCUCCGGGGGUAGAGCACUGUUUCGGCAAGGGGGUCAUCCCGACUUACCAACCCGAUGCAAACUGCGAAUACCGGAGAAUGUUAUCACGGGAGACACACGGCGGGUGCUAACGUCCGUCGUGAAGAGGGAAACAACCCAGACCGCCAGCUAAGGUCCCAAAGUCAUGGUUAAGUGGGAAACGAUGUGGGAAGGCCCAGACAGCCAGGAUGUUGGCUUAGAAGCAGCCAUCAUUUAAAGAAAGCGUAAUAGCUCACUGGUCGAGUCGGCCUGCGCGGAAGAUGUAACGGGGCUAAACCAUG